This is a long non-coding RNA of Mirounga angustirostris (Northern elephant seal), 1332 nucleotides long. RefSeq lists it as uncharacterized. The record is from RefSeq and is a predicted model, not a curated record. NCBI's taxonomy places the organism in Eukaryota, Metazoa, Chordata, Mammalia, Carnivora, Phocidae. The transcript has 4 exons.
CAAAUAUUACUGGAAAACAAGGACCCUUCUGCUCAGUUCAGGAGUCGCUAUUUGGAGUCACCGGCCAGUCUUCGCCCACACAGACUACUGUAAAGGUAGAAGCCAUACAACACGGUGGAUGAGACAGGGUCCUUGGUUCCAACCCCAGCCUUGCCAAUGAGGAACUGAGAGUGGGACUUGGCCCCCAUUUUGCAGGUGGGCCACUGAAGCCAAUGACCUCGGAGGUCCCCCCGUCUCUGCUUGGCUUCUCUUGAUUAGGCCUCUAUGAGGAAACUAAGGCACAAACAGGUCGAAUCAGAGUUUCUCAAGAAGUGUCAAGGCACCAAAGAAAAGAGACAGCAUAUCGAGGGUUGUGGAGUCCACAUGUCUGAAGGAACACUGUGAAGACUCAUGAGAGCCACUUCCGGACUUCUAGGCGAGGAGAGGACAAGGAACCCCAAUGUAUUCAAACCACUGUUAGAUGAGGAAACCGAAGCUCACAAAAUGAGAAUAACUUGCUGCAGGUCACACUCCCAGAGCUGUACUUCCAGCUACUGCACUCCACCGUCUGCCCAUGUCUCACUGGAUAUUCACCCCCAGACCCAGAAGAACAGAACCCCACGCCUACUUUGUGAAUGAGGAGAUAGGGGCUCACAGACAGAAAGGGAAGGGCUCAAAGCCCCACAGGAACUAUGUGGAAAAACUGGGAUUCCAAAGCAGGUAAGGCUGGGCCUCCUGAGUCUGGGCCCCGACCUGCCACGCCCAUCUCCGUGGGGGAGGGGUCCCAGGCCAGAGCGUGCAGCCGGUGCCUGGCCAGCUGCCCCUCUGUGAGCCCCGGGUAUGAUCCCUGAGAGAAAGGCCUCAGUUCCCACCAGCGGCCACCCACACACCUGCUUCCAAGACUAAUGGAAUCCGUGACCAGACGCCUCCCAGCUCCAGAUGGUGCUCCAUGCCCCACUGCCCCGCCUCUGCCUGUCUGCUUCCCUCCCUCCCCUGACCUGCUGACUUUGCCCCCCCUUCCCCAAGGUCAGGCUGGGCUGCUGCAAUGGGGCAGAAGAAAGGAGGUGUCCCUCCGAUGGCCUCAUCUUUGUGUCCCCUCCACAGUGGCCUCCUUGGUGGCUGGCCAAAUGAGCUGUCCUCCUACCCGCACCCCCCCCCAAGCCUUUUCAUCUUUCUAUUCCAGACAACAAAGCCACGGAGGCCAGGCGGAGGCCCCUCCUCCCUGCUCCAGCUGAGCUUGGUUUUUCAGUCUCCUUUUAUGUGAGUUUGAGCCCAGCCCCUGCCCAGGGGUGUUGGCCCCAGGCUGCCUGCCCAGGUGUCCUGAAGGCCCAGCUGCCCCUCAGCGCAAAGCCA